GCUCCUGUGGCUCAGUCGGUUAGAGCAUCGUGCUAAUAACGCGAGGGUCGUCGGUUCAAGUCCGACCAGGAGUA
Transfer RNA from Edhazardia aedis, 74 nucleotides. It matches the Rfam family "tRNA". From Rfam's summary of the family: Transfer RNA (tRNA) molecules are approximately 80 nucleotides in length. Their secondary structure includes four short double-helical elements and three loops (D, anti-codon, and T loops). The record is from Rfam. Lineage: Eukaryota; Fungi; Microsporidia; Culicosporidae.